This 468-nucleotide ribosomal RNA is filed under the name uncultured bacterium. Its description in RNAcentral is "partial 16S ribosomal RNA". It matches the Rfam family "Bacterial small subunit ribosomal RNA", at positions 28 to 507 of the family's 1533-position model. The record is from RNAcentral.
GACGAACGCUGGCGGCGUGCUUAACACAUGCAAGUCGAACGGAAAGGCCCUGCUUUUGUGGGGUGCUCGAGUGGCGAACGGGUGAGUAACACGUGAGUAACCUGCCCUUGACUUUGGGAUAACUUCAGGAAACUGGGGCUAAUGCCGGAUAGGAGCUCCUGCUGCAUGGUGGGGGUUGGAAAGUUUCGGCGGUUGGGGAUGGACUCGCGGCUUAUCAGCUUGUUGGUGGGGUAGUGGCUUACCAAGGCUUUGACGGGUAGCCGGCCUGAGAGGGUGACCGGCCACAUGGGGACUGAGAUACGGCCCAGACUCCUACGGGAGGCAGCAGUGGGGAAUAUUGCACAGUGGGCGGAAGCCUGAUGCAGCAACGCCGCGUGCGGGAUGACGGCCUUCGGGUUGUAAACCGCUUUCGCCUGUGACGAAGCGUGAGUGACGGUAAUGGGUAAAGAAGCACCGGCUAACUACGUG